AUUGAACGCUGGCGGCAGGCUUAACACAUGCAAGUCGAGCGGGGUGAUGGUGCUUGCACUAUCACUUAGCGGCGGACGGGUGAGUAAUGCUUAGGAAUCUGCCUGUUAGUGGGGGACAACAUCUCGAAAGGGAUGCUAAUACCGCAUACGUCCUACGGGAGAAAGCAGGGGAUCACUUGUGACCUUGCGCUAAUAGAUGAGCCUAAGUCGGAUUAGCUGGUUGGUGGGGUAAAGGCCUACCAAGGCGACGAUCUGUAGCGGGUCUGAGAGGAUGAUCCGCCACACUGGGACUGAGACACGGCCCAGACUCCUACGGGAGGCAGCAGUGGGGAAUAUUGGACAAUGGGGGGAACCCUGAUCCAGCCAUGCCGCGUGUGUGAAGAAGGCCUUAUGGUUGUAAAGCACUUUAAGCGAGGAGGAGGCUCUUUUGGUUAAUACCCAAAAUGAGUGGACGUUACUCGCAGAAUAAGCACCGGCUAACUCUGUGCCAGCCGCCGCCGUAA
This 503-nucleotide ribosomal RNA is filed under the name uncultured bacterium. RNAcentral's name for it is "partial 16S ribosomal RNA". It matches the Rfam family "Bacterial small subunit ribosomal RNA", at positions 30 to 523 of the family's 1533-position model. The record is from RNAcentral.